RNAcentral lists this unclassified non-coding RNA (292 nucleotides) under plant metagenome. RNAcentral describes it as "partial contains small subunit ribosomal RNA, internal transcribed spacer 1, and 5.8S ribosomal RNA". The record is from RNAcentral.
UUUCCGUAGGUGAACCUGCGGAAGGAUCAUUAUUGAAUAAACCUGAUGUGGUUGUAGCUGGCCCUUUCGGGAGCAUGUGCACACCCGUCGUCUUUAUCUUUCCACCUGUGCACCUUUUGUAGACCUGGAUGUAACACUUUCCGAGGCAACUCGGUCGGGAGGAAUGCUGUCAGCUUUCCUUGGAUGUCCAGGCCUAUGUUUUCAUAUACCCCAAAGAAUGUAACAGAAUGUAUUAUUGGGCCUUGUGCCUAUAAACUAUAUACAACUUUCAGCAACGGAUCUCUUGGCUCUC